This 976-nucleotide long non-coding RNA is filed under the name Coffea arabica (coffee). RNAcentral's name for it is "long non-coding RNA (CARA_LNC006890)". Lineage: Eukaryota; Viridiplantae; Streptophyta; Magnoliopsida; Gentianales; Rubiaceae. The record is from RNAcentral.
UGGUGGGUCCAUGCGACUUGUAUGUUGCUUAUAAUUGUUGGAACUUCUUUGUACUCGUGGAAUCCAUGGACAACAUACUUCUGCUACGUGCUGGAACUUGACGGCAAUGAAGUAUGCGAGGUUCCAUUGCCAUGGUAACGCAGAAGUGAGAUAGACGGCAAUGUACUUGGUGUGGGGGUUUUUAUUUGGCUACUUUUGCAUGACUCGUUUCUACAACCAAAGUUUACGAAGUAAUUGUGAUGAAAGACUAUGGCAUUGUAGAAUGUUGGACCCCUUUGUUUGAGAUCUUGAAUUUGACAUUCUUUGAGUUCUACCCUAACUGAAAUUUGAUACCACUGAUGCGUGUGGAAAAUGGUCAUGUGUUAAUUGUUAAUGGCGGGUUAAUGUUUAGUUACAACUUUCAAACAGUGGAAUACAAUCAUGAUUAUCCCGUAGUGUCUAAUUGAUGUACCCAAAAGUUUAAGCUCCCCGGUUCGGCAAAGGCAGAUCGAAGGACAGUCGGACCCUGAAUCAGAAGGGGAAUAUUCCAAAUUUCCAUCCGAAAGAAGAGGAAUGCUCAAUAGACCAUGAUUAUGGGAGAGCAUUUACCGGACCAUCAUUCAGAAGUGGACUUUAGGGAAUUUGAGUUUUUCAUGAAUUACCACUUUCCGCAUUCAUUUUUUUUUUUUUUAAAUCUGAUGUAGUCCCCUGUUGUGUAUUUGCCCUCUCAAUGUUUUCUAUAUUCGAGUUUUCUAUAAAACUUGUGCAAAGAUCAUUCUAUUUAUAAGCCUUUGAUCUUUUAAGAAACAAAUUAUGCUACAAAUUGCCAGAUAAGUACAUGGAUUUAGGGUUUCGACUCCAUGUUUUUGAUUUUUCUGAUCAUAGUCCCCUUAUUUGCUCAAUUAGCUAAUUAAUUGCCGGAUGGUAAUCUAUGACUAGAAUUGGUUGGAUACUUUUCUGUAUACAGAAUUGAUCCCUUAGAAUUAUAUUUAAUGAU